GAUGAACGCUGGCGGCGUGCUUAACACAUGCAAGUCGAACGGUGAACACGGAGCUUGCUCUGUGGGAUCAGUGGCGAACGGGUGAGUAACACGUGAGCAACCUGCCCCUGACUCUGGGAUAAGCGCUGGAAACGGCGUCUAAUACUGGAUAUGUGACGUGACCGCAUGGUCUGCGUUUGGAAAGAUUUUUCGGUUGGGGAUGGGCUCGCGGCCUAUCAACUUGUUGGUGAGGUAAUGGCUCACCAAGGCGUCGACGGGUAGCCGGCCUGAGAGGGUGACCGGCCACACUGGGACUGAGACACGGCCCAGACUCCUACGGGAGGCAGCAGUGGGGAAUAUUGCACAAUGGGCGCAAGCCUGAUGCAGCAACGCCGCGUGAGGGAUGACGGCCUUCGGGUUGUAAACCUCUUUUAGCAGGGAAGAAGCGAAAGUGACGGUACCUGCAGAAAAAGCGCCGGCUAACUACGUG
RNAcentral lists this ribosomal RNA (469 nucleotides) under uncultured bacterium. Its description in RNAcentral is "partial 16S ribosomal RNA". It matches the Rfam family "Bacterial small subunit ribosomal RNA", at positions 28 to 507 of the family's 1533-position model. The record is from RNAcentral.